This is a small nucleolar RNA of Raphanus sativus (radish), 90 nucleotides long. RefSeq annotates it as small nucleolar RNA snoR114. The transcript has a single exon. The record is from RefSeq and is a predicted model, not a curated record. Lineage: Eukaryota; Viridiplantae; Streptophyta; Magnoliopsida; Brassicales; Brassicaceae.
GAGCGAUGAAGAUUUGGCGCUUUAGCGAUGGUUGGGUCCUUCGUAGACUUCUGAUAUUCUCGGAUGUAUACUAGCCCUGUGACUGAGCUC